Molecule: long non-coding RNA, 1540 nt
Filed under: Oryctolagus cuniculus (rabbit)
Lineage: Eukaryota; Metazoa; Chordata; Mammalia; Lagomorpha; Leporidae
Description: lncRNA (ENSOCUG00000033642.1)
Source: RNAcentral
GAGCAGUGGAGGAUGCAGCAGGUCAGCAGGCGGAGCCCUCCAUGGGAGCCCAGGAGAACCACAAGGGUCCUCAGCUUCGGAUCAGCGCGGUGCACCGGCCGCGGCGGCCAUUGGAGGGUGAACCAGCGGCAAAGGAAGACCUUUCUCUCUGUCUCUCUCUCUCACUGUCCACUCUGCCUGUCAAAAAAAGAAAAAAAAAGGUAGGGCUUGAGGCCCAGACCACGCAUCACAGCACCACGGAAGGAAUCCCCAUGAUGCCAGGUGACAGGAGAAGGAACAUGACCGGGUGGGGAGGGGGGUGCGGCAAGGAAGCUGCUGGCUCUUCCGGGUGUCUGGGAAUUGGUGCAGAAGGCAUACAGGGGAAUUGGUCCAGGCAUAAAUAUUCAAGCUUUCCCUUCUCCCUUGCAUAGCUGACAGCGAGAAGCGAGCCAAGUUCCACUGCCUUUCCCAGUCCUGCCCAUUAUCAGCACGGGCUAAAGGGCCCAGAGCUCAAAUGAAUUUAGAACAGGCAUUAAAAAAAUAUGUGAGGGUUUUAUGAGCCGAGGCCUGGGUCACCCGCUCCCUCAACGCACCUGCUGCAGUCCAGGCCUGGAGCCCCGAGGCAGAUCUGGCCACAGGACUGCAGCCUGUGCAGCUGCCCCAAGGCCGCGGUCCUGGCUGGAUGUCUCCAGUGGACGGAAGCUGGGGAGGAGGGAGGCCCAGGCCAGCAUGAGCCCCUCCGAAAAUGCAAACUCCCCUCCUGGGGGUCAGCCAGCUGCACAGACCUUCAGUACCGCCAGGCAGCGAGGAAGGUAUCAGGCUGAGGGUGCGGGUGCCCGCAGGGGCAGCGGGGUACGGUCCAGGAGGCAGAGGGUACAGCACUGAGUGGCCAGCAGGGGUGGGGUGAGCAGCCCUUCAGCUGGGACAGUUUAUGCAGCCCUGGCUUCAGGCUGCUGGGCAGGAAGGGGAGGGAGCUCGGAGGCGGCCCUGGUGGACUUUCUGCUCAGGCUACUGCGCUGCCCAGCCUGGCCAGGCAACGGUCCCCUCUGCUGUGUGGACCAGCUCUCCAGGAAAGCAGCCUGCCCCUGCCCGCUUCCCGGCGACCCCGACGGGGAGCCAUCUGCCCUGUAUGUGGCUCCUGGUUCCACAGACACACGAGGCCUCUCCAGUGACUCCUUGGGGAUUCAAACAGCUUUAAACUUUGCCGCGGCCAGACUCACUGAAAUGAAGUCAAUCUGCAGAGGCCCAGCCUCCAACACCCAUUGUGCACGAUGGUGCUUUGUGCUGUGCUGGGCCACAGACGGUCUCAUGGCAGGCCCAGGACCUGGACACCUGGCUGUGCUGUGCCGUGUGUGUCUGCUUCCCUAGGCCCAUGUCAGAGUAACUCAGGACGCGGCAGGUGCAGGCGCCCCAGUGGUACCCAACGUGUCCCUUGUUCUCAGUCUGACAGCAGUGUCAUACACAGGGGUCUUCCGCAAGUUCACGUCAGGAGAAAACCAUCAGGGAUGUGACCUUUUUUUUUUUUUUUUUUGCACCGUAAUAAAGUUAUCUUUUCAUUCCA